CGCACCUGUAUGACAUCACUAGAUGCGACUGAUUUGUAACAAUUGUUAGCCUCGGAGCUCCUUUAAAAGCACGGCGUUGGCGAUGCUAAGGAGUUGGGGGACGCCGGCAGGGAGGCUUGGCACCUGGUGGCUGGGUACCUGUGUUUGUGUGUGUGUGUUUCACCUUUCUGGCAGUGUAGUGUCACCUGGGUGUGCUGUGCAGUGUAUGUGUGCGCUUCACGUGUGGUCUUUUUGGACCCUCCUUCCAGAUCGCCUCCCUGUGGUAAGCCCCUAUCCUAAUUUAUGUGUGUGUUCUGUCCUGUAGGCCUACAGAAUAACUGAACCCUGGUUAUAUUUGCAGUGUUUGCUAUUCUUUUUUUUUUUUUAUGAGUUGUAACAAAAUCAUUGAAAGGAAUUCAAUAAAGAAAUUGUUUAGUGUGAAUCCUGUCUCUGUUCACUUGUGUACGAACCAGUGUUGCUUAUGUGGGUGUUUUUGUAUAGUUAGUUUUCCUAAGGGGGGCAUAACUCCCCUGGGUGGCGUGGUCGGUAAUCUAAAUUCUUAUUGGCACCUUGGUCUCGCUACACACAGUUCAAAGUUUGGUGUUUGAAUAAAUUCCUUAAGUAACAAAGAAUUGUUCGGCAAAGGUCUGUCUCACAGCCCUGCCCUCUGAUUGUUCCAUGGUGAAAGGAUGCACCAAAUCAGGGAGUCUCUCCUUCCUAAUCAUGGUUACACUGUGCAGCACUGUUAUGUCAUGCCUUGGAUGGGUCUGCACUUAACAGUCUUAAACAAUUGAAGUGUGACUCCCAAAUCCCAAACUGUUAUUUCUGUCUUGACCAUAGUUUUUGCAUUGCCUCCUUAAAUUGACCCUGAGGUCCAAGCAGUGACUCUGGAUAUGGAGUCAUCAUCAAGAUAUUCUUGCAGGCGUACCCUCUGUCUCCAAGCAGCAAAGUAAGGUAGUCAUACCAAGGUCUAAGCAGUGAUGUAGUGUAGACUCACUGAGAAUACAAGACAUGAACUGACCCAGUCCAUUUUGCCUUAAUCAGUAGUUGGGGACUAAUCACAAGUCAUGUAAACAGGGGAAAAGGUCUUCUGUGGUUCUAUAUUCAUGAAACCACAGGGAUGCUCUAAUAGUGAUUUGUGUUACUGUGAGAAAUUAUGGUAGGCUACAGACACUUUAUAAAAUGUAUGACUCAUGAACAAUAUUCUGUUAAGUCAGUUAUGUGCUAGUUAAUUUAAAAAAAAAAAAAAAAAAAAGUAUAUAAACCGUAUAAGAAUUGGAAAACCCUAACGAAUUCUCUCUCUUCCUCAAAGCUCUAGCGCAACGUAGAGAUCCUUUCACAAUACGAGCAGCCAUGGGAAAAGUGACGCAAUUGUACUUCCUAGCUCUCUGAUCGGACAGGAGGGGGCUUUAUACACUUUCAGUCUGCUUAGCUUCAACUUAACCUGCCCUGGAGCAGAUUAGUCAUGUAGAGUCAGUGGCCACAGUGACCUAACCAGCUGAAAAGAUAACCACCUUCAUGGUAUGGAUUAAGCCAGAGUUUUAGCCAAAAUUAACUAAUUCUGCAAUCAUGCUUUGUGGUACUCUGCUCAGCCAUGGGCCACACACACCUUUCCUUUGGUCUGUCCAUCUACUUAAGAUUAAGAGUUCACACUUAAUUGUUGAUUGGUGUUUUCUAUUUUGUUUAUCUCAAUAAAUUCUAUUUUAUUGAA
Long non-coding RNA from Pangasianodon hypophthalmus (striped catfish), 1690 nucleotides. RefSeq lists it as uncharacterized. The record is from RefSeq and is a predicted model, not a curated record. NCBI's taxonomy places the organism in Eukaryota, Metazoa, Chordata, Actinopteri, Siluriformes, Pangasiidae. The transcript has 2 exons.